Molecule: ribosomal RNA, 654 nt
Filed under: uncultured bacterium
Lineage: Bacteria
Description: bacterial SSU rRNA
Rfam family: Bacterial small subunit ribosomal RNA
Source: RNAcentral
AUUGAACGCUGGCGGCAGGCUUAACACAUGCAAGUCGAGCGGUAACAGGGGGUGCUUGCACCCCGCUGACGAGCGGCGGACGGGUGAGUAAUGCUUAGGAAUCUGCCCAGUAGUGGGGGAUAGCCCGGGGAAACCCGGAUUAAUACCGCAUACGUCCUACGGGAGAAAGCAGGGGAUCUUCGGACCUUGCGCUAUUGGAUGAGCCUAAGUCGGAUUAGCUAGUUGGUGGGGUAAAGGCCUACCAAGGCGACGAUCCGUAGCUGGUUUGAGAGGAUGAUCAGCCACAUCGGGACUGAGACACGGCCCGAACUCCUACGGGAGGCAGCAGUGGGGAAUAUUGGACAAUGGGGGCAACCCUGAUCCAGCCAUGCCGCGUGUGUGAAGAAGGCUUUCGGGUUGUAAAGCACUUUCAGUGAGGAGGAAAACCUUACGGUUAAUAACCGUGAGGCUUGACGUUACUCACAGAAGAAGCACCGGCUAACUCCGUGCCAGCAGCCGCGGUAAUACGGAGGGUGCAAGCGUUAAUCGGAAUUACUGGGCGUAAAGCGCGCGUAGGUGGUUCGAUAAGCGGGAUGUGAAAGCCCCGGGCUUAACCUGGGAACGGCAUUCCGAACUGUCGGGCUAGAGUAUGGUAGAGGGUAGUGGAAUUUCCUG